RNAcentral lists this transfer RNA (93 nucleotides) under Agrobacterium deltaense RV3. It matches the Rfam family "tRNA". From Rfam's summary of the family: Transfer RNA (tRNA) molecules are approximately 80 nucleotides in length. The record is from RNAcentral. Lineage: Bacteria; Pseudomonadati; Pseudomonadota; Alphaproteobacteria; Hyphomicrobiales; Rhizobiaceae.
GCCGCCGUGGUGUAAUGGUAGCACACCCGUCUAGAAUGGGGUUUUCCAAGUUGAAAGCGGGAAGUACAGGUUCGAAUCCAGGCGGCGGCGCCG